CUUUCAUGAAGGCUUCCUGCUUUCCAGACUGUCGGUCUCCCAGUUUUCCUUCUUCAGUUUUCCCUUAAAGCCUUAGGAACCUGUUUAGGUUGGCAGCUAAAGGUUGGAGAUCUAGCUCAGUUGGCAGAGUGCUUGCCUGGGGUGUAUGAAGCCCUUGUUCAGGUCCCCAUAUAAAGAGAGGGUGACGACACACAUCUUCCAUCCCAGCACUUGGGAGGUGGAGGCAGGAGGACUGGAGCUCAGGGUUGUCCUCACCUACAGUUUGAGAGAAGGACAAAUGCCUCUCCUCUUCCUUCCAGAGAAGGACAAAUGCCUCUCCUCUUCCUUCCAGAGAAGGACAAAUGCCUCCCACCUUUCCAAGGCUCAGAACUGACUUGGAUUCUAUACGACACAUCUCAGAUCUGCGUGUGCCCUGGUCACAAUGGCUUCUCAUUAAAAUGCAAACGGAGGGUGGAUGUGUGGAGGUCAGAAGACAACUGCAGCACACCUCCUCAGGUGUUCCUUACUUUGGUUUUAGAGGCGGGGUCUCUCACUGAGCCUGGAGCCUGCCGCUGGCUGGGCUAGCUGGCCGGUGAGACCCUGGGACCUUCCUGGCCUCUGCUGGGAUUAGAGGCAUGAGCAUCACCAUGCCUGACUUUCCGAGUCCGUGCUGGGAGUCAAAUUCAGGUCCUUGUGCACACAAGGCAGGUACUUUACAAACGGAGCUUUCUCCCCAGCUUGACAUCGUACACACAGGAUGGACACACAGGACCUUUCUCUGCUCUCUCCUUGCCCACGUUUAUGCUCUCUGGAAAGUCUUGGUGAAAUCUCACAGCCACAUGCUCCUCAGACACAGGAAACAGGGUCUCUGCACAAUGAAGGACUGCAACAUGGCUACAAACAUUUCACGUGAUUUUUCAAAACCAUCACUAAAUCCCACACUUCUGUACACAAAGUGAUCUUGCCUGGGCAGCUGGGUGAUAGGUGGAAGGACCAGGAUCAAGAAAGGAUCAUUAUGAGUUGGGUUCAGUGUGCCUGACAGAGUGACAUUUUUGAAAUCAGACACAUGAAGGCUUGGCUCUUAGCCGAUAACUGACCUGGCCUCUUCAAACCCCUACUUUCUUCGUCUCUAAAAUGGGAUCAGUACAGUGGAAGUCCAGCAAGGAGAAGAGGUACGUGAGAGACGCACAUGCUGGCUGACCGUGGUGCAGGUGUGGCACUGGUCCUCCAUGGCUUCUCUGGAGGUCACUGUGACUGUGGACCUUUUUGUCUGAAGUAAGCAGACAGCCAUGUUGGAAGGACUGAGAUGACAGGAAUGAGGGAAAAUGGGGCUGGAGAGAUGCUCAGCAGUUAAGAGCACUGUCUGCUCCUCCAGAGGUUCUGAGUUCAUUUCUCAGCACCCACAUGGUGCCUCACAACCAUCUAUAAUGUGAUCUGAUGCCCUCUUCUGGCAUGCAGGUGUGCAUGCAGAUAGAGCACUCAUACACAAUAAAUAAAUAAAAUAAAUAAACAAAUUCUUUAAACCAGAGUGAAGAAAGAUGGGGGAGCUCAUAAGGGCCGAGUGUGGCCUUGCUCUCUUCAGCUGAGCUUCAGGGAUAACGAUGUACGAAACUCUCACAUCCAAGCUUCCUCCUGCUCUGGAGCGGCAGAUACAAGAAGUAAAGGAAACUCAGAAGGAAAUAGUAAAUCCAUGAAACAGAUGGACAGUCUUGAUUAAACAUUCUAUCUAUCUAUCCAUCUGUCAUCUAUGUUAUCUAUGUAUCUAUCAUUAACCCAUAUAUCUGUUCAUCUAUCUUUAAUCUUCUCUAUAUGAAUCAUGAAAAUUUCUAUAUGUAUUAAUAUAACAGUAACAGUUUUCAUACCAAAAAUGUUUUAAAAUUUAUUGUGCGUGUGUUUGUGUACCACAUGCAUGUGGCAACUUUGGAGAGCUGGGUUUUGCCUUCAUCUUGUUGAAGCAGGGUUUCUCUUGUUUCUCCUGUUGUGCCAUGUAUUCUGGCUUUUAUUUUUUUUCCUAGUCGUGGGUUCCAGUUUUUAAUCUGGAUUGCCAGGCUUGUGUAGCAAGUGCUUUUACCUGCUGGUCCCUGGAAAUGUUUGAUAAUUAUCUAUUAUCAAAAAGAGAAAGUUAUUCUUCAUGUCCAUUUAUGCAUCCAGCCCUCCUCCCGGUGUGAGUGUGUGCUCAUGGUAAGUUCACUGAAUAGUGUGUGUGUGCAUGACUGGCCCAGUAAUGAAGACAAAGACCUCUGGAGUUAUAUAAAAAUGUGCUGUGCUUGCAAGUAUCAGCCAUACACGCACAAGUGUGCUCAUGUUCUGUGAACAUGUGAGUGUGUGUGUUCAUGAGCCUGCACUUGUGUAACCAGAUGGAUGAAUACUGUUAUAUGUAUAUA
Molecule: long non-coding RNA, 2363 nt
Organism: Meriones unguiculatus (Mongolian gerbil)
Lineage: Eukaryota; Metazoa; Chordata; Mammalia; Rodentia; Muridae
Exons: 3
Source: RefSeq, a predicted model, not a curated record